This 1715-nucleotide long non-coding RNA is filed under the name Scleropages formosus (Asian bonytongue). Its description in RNAcentral is "lncRNA (ENSSFOG00015024997.1)". Lineage: Eukaryota; Metazoa; Chordata; Actinopteri; Osteoglossiformes; Osteoglossidae. The record is from RNAcentral.
GGAGUAAACUCUUACAGAUCGGGGAGAAAACGCAAACUCCACACAGACUGAACAGAUGGAAGCACUAUCCUCUCGCACUAUCCAGGUGCUAUGAGACAGCAAAGCAACACUACUUACUGUGUCACCAUGCCGCUGGAUACUUACUAUAUUAGUAUAUAAAAACUGGUAGGCGCUGCUUUAAGACGUUUCGGGGGAGGGACUGACCGCAUACGUCGUCGACGGUCCCAUAAAAAUAGUCACUUGACUAGAGUCACUUGACGGGGAUGCCGUUCUGAGAAAUGUGUCAUAUGCGAUUUCGUCGUUAUGCAAACAUAAAAAAAGUGUUCUUAUACAAACCUAGAUGGUAUAGACGUCGAUGCAGUCAAGAGACGCGGUAAACACAAAAUUUAUGACUCUGCUGUAGGCGUAACACAGAGCAUACUGUUUUAGAGUAAACUUUGUUUACACCACAAACACGCGAGUAACACAACUUGCGCUUUUCAGCUCCGCUAUGGGACCACUGUCGCAGGGUCAGUUGUUAAUCGAAACGUCAUUAAGCGGCGUUAAACCGGUUUUAUGGUGUUCGCUCAGCGACGAAGUCGUACUGCGACUGGUUUCACAGAACGUACGGUAUUUCCGUCGUCGUUAAGCGGCGCGUACCUGUUUUUUACUAUAUAUUGGGUCAGAAAUAUUUUGGAUAUAUACUGUAUAUAUCCAAAACAUUUCUGAACCAAUAAAAGCAGGAAGCAGGAUAUAUGUACCUUCAGAAUUUUUUUAAAAAAUCCUGUUAGGAAUGCAAUUUUUUGGCAGGACUUGCCUACUACUCAGGCGUCGCCAGAACUUUUUUUCAGGUGUGUCCAGAUCGCUCAAUUUAUCUUCUGCCAUGUUACUUCUGAGAUGAGUUUUGAUAAGCUUCAGGCAGGAGACGCUCUGCUCACAUGCAGCCGUAGUGACUGGAAUUGCAACUGCAAUUUUACACAACUUAAAGGAUUCCUGGAAAACAUCCUUAUAUGGUUCAACAAAAACAGGACUUGUACUACUGCUGGCAACCUGUCCACUAAAUUGCGACAGGCCAAAUACGUGCAUGCCCACCAUGUGUUACUCAACCAUUGAAGUUCUCUGGGAGCACCUGGAUACAUUUCACCUUGAAUUUGCAGCCAGUUUUGGUGCACCACUGAUCCAGACAUGAAGACAUAUAGCUUUUGUAACAAGGAAAAGAAGCAGUUAGCUUCUGGGAUGGCUUUUACUGUGUCAACAAGCACAAGGUUAAGGCAGUGAGCAUUACAGUGCACAUAAAAGGCCUGCUUUGCCACCUGCUUUACACGUGUCUGUACACCACGAUGCUUACCACUCAUGACUGUAGCCCCAUCAUAAGACUGACCUACCAGAUUACUCUUGUAUUCCAGAACAUAUCUUUCGAGUGUCAGUAAUCCUUUGUGUCAAUCCUUUUGCAUCUAAGCAUUCAGCCUGUUCAAACUCUAAAAACUUAUAUUUAUUGCACCAUUGUAAUAAUACCUUAGUACAAAAGAAAUCUGCUCUUUUUUGCUAUGGUCUUAGCUUCAUCAGGUAGUAUGCUGAACAUCUCACUUUUCUUGACCGCUUUUAUUAUUGAGGUGCGCAACAUCUCUGCUAAGCAAGACAGAAUCUCAUUCUGGAUAUCGACACUUGUAUAUUUUGCAUUACCAACUGCAUUAAUUUUCUUCAUAAUGUUAGGAUUAUGUUUUGCAAUCAGCUCU